This 301-nucleotide ribosomal RNA is filed under the name uncultured bacterium. RNAcentral's name for it is "partial 16S ribosomal RNA". It matches the Rfam family "Bacterial small subunit ribosomal RNA", at positions 509 to 807 of the family's 1533-position model. The record is from RNAcentral.
CAGUAGCCACGGGAAUACGGAGGAUCCAAGCGUUAUCCGGAAUCAUUGGGUUUAAAGGGUCCGUAGGCGGUCUUGUAAGUCAGUGGUGAAAGCCCAUCGCUCAACGGUGGAACGGCCAUUGAUACUGCAGGACUUGAAUUAUUGGGAAGUAACUAGAAUAUGUAGUGUAGCGGUGAAAUGCUUAGAGAUUACAUGGAAUACCAAUUGCGAAGGCAGGUUACUACCAAUUGAUUGACGCUGAUGGACGAAAGCGUGGGUAGCGAACAGGAUUAGAUACCCGCGUAGUCCCUGUCUCUUAUAC